AGUGGCGAACGGGUGAGUAAACAUCGGAACGUGUCCUGUAGUGGGGGAUAGCCCGGCGAAAGCCGGAUUAAUACCGCAUACGAUCUACGGAGGAAAGCGGGGGAUCGCAAGACCUCGCGCUAUAGGGGCGGCCGAUGGCAGAUUAGCUAGUUGGUGGGGUAAAGGCCUACCAAGGCGACGAUCUGUAGCUGGUCUGAGAGGACGACCAGCCACACUGGGACUGAGACACGGCCCAGACUCCUACGGGAGGCAGCAGUGGGGAAUUUUGGACAAUGGGGGAAACCCUGAUCCAGCAAUGCCGCGUGUGUGAAGAAGGCCUUCGGGUUGUAAAGCACUUUUGUCCGGAAAGAAAAAAAUUUUCCCCCCAAAAACGGGGGGGGGAAAAACGGCCCCCAAAAAAAAAACCCCCGGUUUAUUUUUGGCCCCCCCCCCGGGGAAAAAUAUGGGGGGGGGGGGGUUUUUAUAAAAUUUUGGGGGGAAAAAGGGGGGGGGGGGGGGCGGUUCGUUAAGACAGAUGUGAAAUCCCCGGGCUUAACCUGGGAACUGCAU
RNAcentral lists this ribosomal RNA (549 nucleotides) under uncultured bacterium. RNAcentral's name for it is "partial 16S ribosomal RNA". It matches the Rfam family "Bacterial small subunit ribosomal RNA", at positions 94 to 626 of the family's 1533-position model. The record is from RNAcentral.